Molecule: long non-coding RNA, 225 nt
Filed under: Elaeis guineensis (African oil palm)
Lineage: Eukaryota; Viridiplantae; Streptophyta; Magnoliopsida; Arecales; Arecaceae
Description: long non-coding RNA (EGUI_LNC015774)
Source: RNAcentral
AAGUCAGUGAAAAAUAGAUGAACAGUAAGUUGAAUAUUAAAAAUGACAGAGUAUUUAUCCAGAAGUGUCUUAUCAAUGCUGUUCAUUUAUCUUUUUUUUUUAUAGAUAAGUUGUUGGUAAUCAUUUGUAACAGUUAGAUACGUAGGUCCCGCUUAUUCCGAUACUAUGUGAUCGUGGGAUGGACAAUUAAUAUCUAUUGAUGAUCAUGGAAUGUGGCUGUUAUGC